RNAcentral lists this ribosomal RNA (749 nucleotides) under uncultured archaeon. RNAcentral's name for it is "bacterial SSU rRNA". It matches the Rfam family "Archaeal small subunit ribosomal RNA", at positions 170 to 922 of the family's 1478-position model. The record is from RNAcentral.
CUGGAAUGGUUUUUGAUCAAAAUCUAUAUGGCCUCUGGAUUGGACUGCGGCCGAUCAGGCUGUUGGUGAGGUAAUGGCCCACCAAACCUGUAACCGGUACGGGCUCUGAGAGGAGGAGCCCGGAGAUGGGCACUGAGACAAGGGCCCAGGCCCUAUGGGGCGCAGCAGGCGCGAAACCUCUGCAAUAGGCGAAAGCCUGACAGGGUUACUCUGAGUGAUUUCCGUUAAGGAGAUCUUUUGGCACCUCUAAAAAUGGUGCAGAAUAAGGGGUGGGCAAGUCUGGUGUCAGCCGCCGCGGUAAUACCAGCACCCCGAGUGGUCGGGACGUUUAUUGGGCCUAAAGCAUCCGUAGCCGGUUCUGCAAGUCUUCCGUUAAAUCCACCUGCUUAACAGAUGGGCUGCGGAAGAUACUAUAGAGCUAGGAGGCGGGAGAGGCAAGCGGUACUCGAUGGGUAGGGGUAAAAUCCGUUGAUCCAUUGAAGACCACCAGUGGCGAAGGCGGCUUGCCAGAACGCGCUCGACGGUGAGGGAUGAAAGCUGGGGGAGCAAACCGGAUUAGAUACCCGGGUAGUCCCAGCUGUAAACGAUGCAGACUCGGUGAUGAAUUGGCUUUAUGCCAAUUCAGUGCCGCAGGGAAGCCGUUAAGUUUGCCGCCUGGGGAGUACGGUCGCAAGACUGAAACUUAAAGGAAUUGGCGGGGGAGCACCACAAGGGGUGAAGCCUGCGGUUCAAUUGGACUCAACGCCGGU